AGCGUAAAGAAUUUAUUUUAGGUGAAUUCUGCCCAGCGAAAAAAUUUUAGCGGCCGCAGUACCUUGACUGUGCUAAGGUAGCAUAAUCAAUUGGUUUUUAAUUGAAGUCUGGAAUGAAUGGAAUAAUGGGAUUUAUCUGUCUUUUUUUUGGUUUUUUGAAAUUAGUUAUUAAGUGAAAAUACUUAUAUUAAGAAAAAAGACGAGAAGACCCUAAGAAUUUUAAUUAAAAAAUUUUUUUAAUUUUAUAUUUUUGUUGGGGCGACAUUGAAACAUUUUAAACUUUCUGUUUUUCAUUUCAUUUAGGUUGAAAAGGAUAAAUUACCUUAGGGAUAACAGCAUAAUAAUUUAUUUGUUUGUGACCUCGAUGUUGGACUAGGAACUAUAUGACUAAUCGUUAAAAUAGAUUGUUCUGUUCGAACAAAUACUCCU
Molecule: ribosomal RNA, 429 nt
Filed under: Lanx sp. Banbury Springs (Banbury Springs lanx)
Lineage: Eukaryota; Metazoa; Mollusca; Gastropoda; Lymnaeidae
Description: partial 16S ribosomal RNA
Source: RNAcentral